Molecule: ribosomal RNA, 497 nt
Filed under: uncultured bacterium
Lineage: Bacteria
Description: partial 16S ribosomal RNA
Rfam family: Bacterial small subunit ribosomal RNA
Source: RNAcentral
GAUGAACGCUGGCGGCGUGCCUAAUACAUGCAAGUCGAGCGAACGGACGAGAAGCUUGCUUUUCUGAUGUUAGCGGCGGACGGGUGAGUAACACGUGGAUAACCUACCUAUAAGACUGGGAUAACUUCGGGAAACCGGAGCUAAUACUGGAUAAUAUUUUGAACCGCAUGGUUCAAAAGUGAAAGACGGUCUUGCUGUCACUUAUAGAUGGAUCCGCGCUGCAUUAGCUAGUUGGUAAGGUAACGGCUUACCAAGGCAACGAUGCAUAGCCGACCUGAGAGGGUGAUCGGCCACACUGGAACUGAGACACGGUCCAGACUCCUACGGGAGGCAGCAGUAGGGAAUCUUCCGCAAUGGGCGAAAGCCUGACGGAGCAACGCCGCGUGAGUGAUGAAGGUCUUCGGAUCGUAAAACUCCGUUGUUAGGGAAGAACAUAUGUGGAAGUAACUGUGCACAUCUUGACGGUACCUAAUCAGAAAGCCCCGGCUAACUACGUG